Molecule: transfer RNA, 72 nt
Filed under: Stackebrandtia albiflava
Lineage: Bacteria; Bacillati; Actinomycetota; Actinomycetes; Glycomycetales; Glycomycetaceae
Also listed under: 2 other names
Rfam family: tRNA
About the family: Transfer RNA (tRNA) molecules are approximately 80 nucleotides in length. Their secondary structure includes four short double-helical elements and three loops (D, anti-codon, and T loops).
Source: Rfam by way of RNAcentral
GGGCGCUUAGCUCAGCGGUAGAGCACUGCUCUUACAAAGCAGGGGUCACUGGUUCGAAACCAGUAGCGCCCA